RNAcentral lists this transfer RNA (66 nucleotides) under Nototeredo knoxi. RNAcentral's name for it is "tRNA-Tyr". The record is from RNAcentral. Lineage: Eukaryota; Metazoa; Mollusca; Bivalvia; Myida; Teredinidae.
GGAGGGGUGGCCGAAUAGGUGUUAAGUUGUAGCCUUAAUUAUGAGAUUAAGUUGUCUCCCCCUUUA